CCUACGGGAGGCAGCAGUGAGGAAUAUUGGUCAAUGGGCGCGAGCCUGAACCAGCCAAGUCGCGUGAGGGAAGACGGCCCUACGGGUUGUAAACCUCUUUUGCCGGGGAGCAACGGGCGCCACGUGUGGCGUCACUGCGAGUACCCGGAGAAAAAGCAUCGGCUAACUCCGUGCCAGCAGCCGCGGUAAUACGGAGGAUGCGAGCGUUAUCCGGAUUUAUUGGGUGUAAAGGGCGUGCAGCCGGAGCGACAAGUCAGAUGUGAAAUCCACGGGCUCAACCCGUGAACUGCAUUUGAAAUUGUUUCCCUUGAGUGUCGGAGAGGUAAUCGGAAUUCCUGGUGUAGCGGUGAAAUGCGUAGAGAUAAGGAAGAACACCAGUGGCGAAGGCGGAUUACUGGACGAUAACUGACGGUGAGGCGCGAAAGCGUGGGGAGCAAACAGGAUUAGAUACCCCGGUAGUC
This 461-nucleotide ribosomal RNA is filed under the name uncultured bacterium. Its description in RNAcentral is "partial 16S ribosomal RNA". It matches the Rfam family "Bacterial small subunit ribosomal RNA", at positions 338 to 795 of the family's 1533-position model. The record is from RNAcentral.